This is a non-coding RNA of Gongylonema pulchrum, 62 nucleotides long. The record is from Rfam. Lineage: Eukaryota; Metazoa; Nematoda; Chromadorea; Rhabditida; Gongylonematidae.
CGCUUUGGUUAUCUAGCUGUAUGAGUACGUUAUUAACUUCAUAAAGCUAGGUUACCAAAGCU